RNAcentral lists this long non-coding RNA (497 nucleotides) under Gallus gallus (chicken). RNAcentral describes it as "long non-coding RNA NONGGAT011842". Lineage: Eukaryota; Metazoa; Chordata; Aves; Galliformes; Phasianidae. The record is from RNAcentral.
ACAGAGACAAGAGAUAAAGAAGAAAUAUCAUUCUCUACACCUCAGACUGGCAGUGCCUGCUGACUAGACAACAGAUAGCUGAAGACAGAAGAAAAAGCAGGUAAAUAAUCCUGUUUGGCUCCAGGGAAAAGCUGCUUGAUGUGGAGGCAUAGCAAAGAUCAAAGUGAGCAGAUGGACACAAUCUGCUCAUUGGAGAGUACAUCCUGACUUUUGAGAAAUACACGUUGUGAUUUGGGAACACAGCACUCCAGCAAUAUGCCAGUCUAAGCUUCAGAAUGAUUCAAUGCUCUUAAAAGAGUGGAGCAGCAUGUCUUUGUCAGAUAAUUCAGAAACCAGAAUUACUGUUUUCGAGGGCAAAUAGUAAAGCUAAUUUAUUUAUUGAGAGACAAAUACAUACUCACUUGCACAACCAGAAAGAGAACAACAACCCAACAUAUUUACAGAGCCUACCUGGUGAAGUAAAUUUUUUACUAUCCUACUCUUUGAGGGAUUACCUC